GACGAACGCUGGCGGCGUGCUUAACACAUGCAAGUCGAGCGGUAAGGCCCUUUCGGGGGUACACGAGCGGCGAACGGGUGAGUAACACGUGGGUGACCUGCCCUUAGCUCUGGGAUAAGCCUGGGAAACUGGGUCUAAUACCGGAUAUGACUCCAUAACGCAUGUUGUGGGGUGGAAAGCCUUGUGCGGCUAGGGAUGGGCCCGCGGCCUAUCAGCUUGUU
Molecule: ribosomal RNA, 221 nt
Filed under: uncultured bacterium
Lineage: Bacteria
Description: partial 16S ribosomal RNA
Rfam family: Bacterial small subunit ribosomal RNA
Source: RNAcentral